AUGUGCCUGUUGCCGGCGGCUCGAGCGAUGCAAGCCGGCGGCAAACUAGAAAAGAAAGCCUCCUCGGACAUUAAGAAGGUACAACUAGGUAGCAGUGGAAGUGCUCCGUUCAAAAACAAGAACUUAGCAGAAGCUCUACAUAUGCAAAUGGAGGUUCAGACACAGCUCCAUGAACAGCUAUAG
RNAcentral lists this ribosomal RNA (183 nucleotides) under Triticum aestivum (bread wheat). RNAcentral describes it as "partial small subunit ribosomal RNA". Lineage: Eukaryota; Viridiplantae; Streptophyta; Magnoliopsida; Poales; Poaceae. The record is from RNAcentral.